RNAcentral lists this ribosomal RNA (743 nucleotides) under uncultured bacterium. RNAcentral's name for it is "bacterial SSU rRNA". It matches the Rfam family "Bacterial small subunit ribosomal RNA", at positions 8 to 796 of the family's 1533-position model. The record is from RNAcentral.
AGAGUUUGAUCCUGGCUCAGGAUGAACGCUGGCGGUAUGCUUAACACAUGCAAGUCGAACGGGGCCAUUAGUGGCCUAGUGGCGGACGGGUGAGUAACGCGUGAGAAUCUGGCCUCAGGUCCGGGACAACCAUUGGAAACGGUGGCUAAUACCGGAUGUGCCUUAUGGUGAAAGAUUAAUUGCCUGAGGAUGAGCUCGCGUCUGAUUAGCUAGUUGGUGGGGUAAAGGCCUACCAAGGCUGCGAUCAGUAACUGGUCUGAGAGGAUGACCAGUCACACUGGGACUGAGACACGGCCCAGACUCCUACGGGAGGCAGCAGUGGGGAAUUUUCCGCAAUGGGCGAAAGCCUGACGGAGCAAUACCGCGUGAGGGAGGAAGGCUCUUGGGUUGUAAACCUCUUUUCUCAGGGAAGAACACUGACGGUACCUGAGGAAUCAGCAUCGGCUACUCCGUGCCAGCAGCCGCGGUAAUACGGAGGAUGCAAGCGUUAUCCGGAAUUAUUGGGCGUAAAGCGUCUGUAGGUGGAUAUUCAAGUCUGCUGUCAAAGACCGUGGCUCAACCAUGGAAAGGCGGUGGAAACUGAAAGUCUAGAGUGCGGUAGGGGCAGAGGGAAUUCCCAGUGUAGCGGUGAAAUGCGUAGAGAUUGGGAAGAACACCCGUGCGAAAGNNNCUCUGCUGGGCCUGCACUGACACUAAGGGACGAAAGCUAGGGGAGCGAAUGGGAUUAGAUACCCUAGUAGUCC